RNAcentral lists this non-coding RNA (206 nucleotides) under Onchocerca ochengi. RNAcentral's name for it is "Eukaryotic large subunit ribosomal RNA". It matches the Rfam family "Eukaryotic large subunit ribosomal RNA", at positions 967 to 1170 of the family's 3401-position model. Lineage: Eukaryota; Metazoa; Nematoda; Chromadorea; Rhabditida; Onchocercidae. The record is from Rfam by way of RNAcentral.
UUUUCCACAAAAUAGCUGCAGUACGUAAUGAAGCUGUUAUAUUCGGUAAAGCGAAUGAUUACGGGAACUGUGGGACGAAGCGUUAACCUAUUCUCAAACAUUCAAUGAGUAUGACGUCUUGCUUGCUUGAAUGGAGCGUAGGGAUUGGAUGUGUGCUCCACGUAGGCCAUUUUUGGUAAGCAGAAUUGACGCUGUGAGAUGAACUA